RNAcentral lists this ribosomal RNA (468 nucleotides) under uncultured bacterium. RNAcentral's name for it is "partial 16S ribosomal RNA". It matches the Rfam family "Bacterial small subunit ribosomal RNA", at positions 28 to 507 of the family's 1533-position model. The record is from RNAcentral.
GACGAACGCUGGCGGCGUGCUUAACACAUGCAAGUCGAACGGAAAGGCCCUGCUUUUGUGGGGUGCUCGAGUGGCGAACGGGUGAGUAACACGUGAGUAACCUGCCCUUGACUUUGGGAUAACUUCAGGAAACUGGGGCUAAUACCGGAUAGGAGCUCCUGCUGCACGGUGGGGGAUGGAAAGAUUCGGCGGUUGUGGAUGGUUUGGCGGCUUAUCAGCUUGUUGGUGGGGUAGUGGAUUACCAAGGCUUUGACGGGUAGCCGGCCUGAGAGGGUGACCGGCCACAUUGGGACUGAGAGACGGCCCAGACUCCUACGGGAGGCAGCAGGGGGGAAUAUUGCACAGUGGGCGGAAGCCUGAUGCAGCAACGCCGCGUGCGGGAUGACGGGCUUCGGGUUGUAAACCGCUUUCGCCGGUGACGAAGCGUGAGUGACGGUAAUGGGUAAAGAAGCACCGGCUAACUACGUG